GAUGAACGCUGGCGGCGUGCCUAAUACAUGCAAGUCGAGCGAACAGACGAGGAGCUUGCUCCUCUGACGUUAGCGGCGGACGGGUGAGUAACACGUGGAUAACCUACCUCUAAGACUGGGAUAACUUCGGGAAACCGGAGCUAAUACCGGAUAAUAUAUUGAACCGCAUGGUUCAAUAGUGAAAGACGGUUUUGCUGUCACUUAUAGAUGGAUCCGCGCCGCAUUAGCUAGUUGGUAAGGUAACGGCUUACCAAGGCAACGAUGCGUAGCCGACCUGAGAGGGUGAUUGGCCACACUGUAACUGAGACACGGUCCAGACUCCUACGGGAGGCAGCAGUAGGGAAUCUUCCGCAAUGGGCGAGAGCUUGACGGAGCAACGCCGCGUGAGUGAUGAAGGUCUUCUGAUCGUAAAGCGCUGUUAUUAGGGAAGAACAAAUGUGUAAGUAACUAUGCACGUCUUGACGGUACCGAAUCAGAAAGCCACGGCUAACUACGUG
Molecule: ribosomal RNA, 497 nt
Filed under: uncultured bacterium
Lineage: Bacteria
Description: partial 16S ribosomal RNA
Rfam family: Bacterial small subunit ribosomal RNA
Source: RNAcentral